AUUAGGGUGUUUGGACUUUCUUUGCUAACGGGCUAGUACUAAUUUGUCAAAACUAAAAUUUCGAGAUUCUACUUGAAAUAAUCCAAAUCACAUGGUACUUUAUGUUUCUUUCCCCAAAUCUUAAUUGCAUUGUCAUACACAUUUAGAUACAUCGUGUAUCUAAAUUACUAGUUCAUUUUUAGAAUUAUAUGAUUAUGCUUAAUUUAAUAGGACUAGACCGAAAUGCAAAUGAACAUAAUUCUAUUAAAUUAUAAAAACACAAAAUAAAUAUGGAUACAUAAGUCAUAUACAAUCUCCAGUCCUAAGAUAAUAU
RNAcentral lists this unclassified non-coding RNA (313 nucleotides) under Hevea brasiliensis (rubber tree). The record is from RNAcentral. Lineage: Eukaryota; Viridiplantae; Streptophyta; Magnoliopsida; Malpighiales; Euphorbiaceae.